AUAGGAGCGAAAGACUAUGCU
RNAcentral lists this small nuclear RNA (21 nucleotides) under Arabidopsis thaliana (thale cress). RNAcentral's name for it is "snRNA_16109". The record is from RNAcentral. Lineage: Eukaryota; Viridiplantae; Streptophyta; Magnoliopsida; Brassicales; Brassicaceae.